AUGCCGUAUCUGCAUCCAGGUGAAACGAAGCUCGAACUCGCUUGUUCAGUGAAUUGUGUUAAAAUUGAUUAAUGACGCGUUCCUGCAGGUUAGUGACUCGACAGUGUCGUCGGGCGUGGGCGUGGAAACCACUAGCGGAGGAUACGAACGAACCGAAAUUCGAACAAAUCGGCGAAAUACACGAACAUCCGUAUGAUAAGUUAUACCGGGAGAGGUGCAAACUUCAAUUUAUUGUAACAGGUGAACGGGCGUAGUGGCAACACUUGCACGAAGGAGUUGAACACCAAGGCGUAGCCUGAGCACACGGACGGGUUAUGGACGGUUAAAUCGACUCGACGCAUCGGCUUAUCCACGCUGCAGAAGCCACUCAGAAUGCACGACGCUGCGCAGGAAACGCAAUUAUCGUAGCUCCCUUCCCCUGCAGCCGAUCCAUAGUCGCCACGGAGUUCAGAUUCUUCAUCCGCAUUGAGUUUCGAGUGGCCCACGGCAAGGAUGCGCCGCCGAUCUUUCUUUCAUCGUGAUCAGCAUGGAUUUCCGGCUCACCCGCAAUCCAACUUCCGAUAAGAGGUCGUCGCAUUUCCCGUAUACGUAUACGAGUAAUUCAAGUUUUCUUUGUUUUUUGCCU
Molecule: long non-coding RNA, 625 nt
Organism: Neodiprion fabricii
Lineage: Eukaryota; Metazoa; Arthropoda; Insecta; Hymenoptera; Diprionidae
Exons: 4
Source: RefSeq, a predicted model, not a curated record